AACGAACGCUGGCGGCAUGCCUAACACAUGCAAGUCGAACGAGACCUUCGGGUCUAGUGGCGCACGGGUGCGUAACGCGUGGGAACCUGCCCUUAGGUUCGGAAUAACUCCCCGAAAGGGGUGCUAAUACCGGAUAAUGUCUUCGGACCAAAGAUUUAUCGCCUUUGGAUGGGCCCGCGUUGGAUUAGCUGGUUGGUAGGGUAAAAGCCUACCAAGGCGACGAUCCAUAGCUGGUCUGAGAGGAUGAUCAGCCACACUGGGACUGAGACACGGCCCAGACUCCUACGGGAGGCAGGAGUGGGGAAUAUUGGACAAUGGGCGAAAGCCUGAUCCAGCAAUGCCGCGUGAGUGAUGAAGGCCUUAGGGUUGUAAAGCUCUUUUACCCGGGAUGAUAAUGACAGUACCGGGAGAAUAAGCGCCGGCUAACUCCGUG
RNAcentral lists this ribosomal RNA (433 nucleotides) under uncultured bacterium. Its description in RNAcentral is "partial 16S ribosomal RNA". It matches the Rfam family "Bacterial small subunit ribosomal RNA", at positions 29 to 507 of the family's 1533-position model. The record is from RNAcentral.